This 844-nucleotide ribosomal RNA is filed under the name uncultured soil bacterium. RNAcentral describes it as "bacterial SSU rRNA". It matches the Rfam family "Bacterial small subunit ribosomal RNA", at positions 26 to 897 of the family's 1533-position model. The record is from RNAcentral.
AGAAUCAACGCUGGCGGCGUGCCUAACACAUGCAAGUCGAACGAGAAAGUGGUAGCAAUACCAUGAGUAAAGUGGCGCACGGGUGAGUAACACGUGACUAACCUACCCUUGAGUGGGGGAUAACUGAGGGAAACCUUAGCUAAUACCGCAUAAUACCUACGGGUCAAAGGAGCAAUUCGCUCGAGGAGGGGGUCGCGGCCGAUUAGUUAGUUGGCGGGGUAAUGGCCCACCAAGACUGUGAUCGGUAUCCGGCCUGAGAGGGCGCACGGACACACUGGAACUGAAACACGGUCCAGACUCCUACGGGAGGCAGCAGUGGGGAAUUUUGCGCAAUGGGGGAAACCCUGACGCAGCAACGCCGCGUGGAGGAUGAAGUCCCUCGGGACGUAAACUCCUUUCGAUCGGGACGAUAAUGACGGUACCGGAAGAAGAAGCCCCGGCUAACUUCGUGCCAGCAGCCGCGGUAAUACGAGGGGGGCGAGCGUUGUUCGGAAUUAUUGGGCGUAAAGGGUGCGUAGGCGGUUUGGUAAGUCUUGUGUGAAAUCUCCGGGCUCAACUCGGAGCCUGCACGAGAAACUGCCGGGCUGGAGUGUGGGAGAGGUGAGUGGAAUUUUCCGGUGUAGCGGUGAAAUGCGUAGAUAUCGGAAGGAACACCUGUGGCGAAAGCGGCUCACUGGACCACAACUGACGCUGAUGCACGAAAGCUAGGGGAGCAAACAGGAUUAGAUACCCUGGGUAGUCCUAGCCCUAAACGAUGACUGCUUGGUGUGACGGGUACCCAAUCCCGCCGUGCCGAAGCUAACGCGUUAAGCAGUCCGCCUGGGGAGUACGGUCGCAAGGCUGA